AAAAACUGGGAUGAGAGCAGGCAGGACUGUCUGAGGAGAGGAGCUGACCUGGUGAUCAUCAACAGCAGAGAAGAAAACUCGUUUCUGAAGAACUUUGGUCUCAGAGUCUGGAUUGGUAUGUCUGAUCUGGAAACAGAAGGGGAGUGGAAGUGGGUGGAUGGAUCAAGUCUGAGCUACACGUCCUGGGCAAAAGGUCAGCCUGAUGAUGCUCGUGAAGGAGAAGACUGUGGAGAAGUGAGACCAGAACGAGAUGGA
Myripristis murdjan (pinecone soldierfish) is the source of this 255-nucleotide long non-coding RNA. RefSeq lists it as uncharacterized. The record is from RefSeq and is a predicted model, not a curated record. The annotation marks the transcript as partial. The transcript has 3 exons. NCBI's taxonomy places the organism in Eukaryota, Metazoa, Chordata, Actinopteri, Holocentriformes, Holocentridae.